Molecule: ribosomal RNA, 253 nt
Filed under: uncultured bacterium
Lineage: Bacteria
Description: partial 16S ribosomal RNA
Rfam family: Bacterial small subunit ribosomal RNA
Source: RNAcentral
UACGUAGGGGGCAAGCGUUGUCCGGAAUCAUUGGGCGUAAAGCGCGUGUAGGCGGCUCGGUAAGUCCGCUCUGAAAGUCCGGGGCUCAACCCCGGGAGGCGGGUGGAUACUGUCGAGCUAGAGUCCGGAAGAGGCGAGUGGAAUUCCUGGUGUAGCGGUGAAAUGCGCAGAUAUCAGGAGGAACACCAAUGGCGAAGGCGGAUCUCUGGGCCUUACCUGACGCUCAGGCGCGAAAGCUAGGGGAGCGAACAGG